GAGCGGUGCGGUGCCCGCGCGCCGGCCGAACGAUCCGGUGCUGGUGCCCGGCGGCCUCCUAAGGCUCCGUCCUGUUCCUCCCGGGCGCGGGGGCGGCCCCCGGCUCACCGCGGACAUCGAGCCCAGAGCAGCCCGGAGUCACACUCAAAGCCUUCCGCCCGGCCACCCGCCCACUUCUCACUUCCUUCCUUCUUUCUUUUUUUUUUUUUUUUUCCCACUCCUCCACUUUCCCCGCCGGAAACGCCACCCCUUCCUCCUACAGUUCCGCCCGCCAAUUCCUCGACUCCGGUCGUCCCCUCGCGCGCCGGAGAGUGACGCAGAGGCCUCCCCCGUUUCAGCCGCCCCUCCCCGGGCACUCUGGGAGAAGGUUGGGGGGGGGGGGAUAGGGCGGAGCCCAGGGAGAAAUAGAAAGGAAAACCAACCCGAUUGGGCAGGCCGCUGCCAUGGAAACUGGAGGCUGUGGUUGUAUUGUCAUAGUAACUGCCGUGUGUAGACAGGGUGACCCUCCCGUAGAGAAACGGGUUCCCUGGAAACUGCCCAGGAUUCCCCACUUGGAUUCCCUGCCUUUUUAAAAGCCAGGAGUCGAGAUGGUUAUCCGAGCAGGAAACGAAAGUACAGCCGACUUGGACAUCAUUCUCAAGGACAGCUUGUCAUUAACGAAAUAGAAAGUGAACUAUGCCCCCUCAUGCUGCAAGCAAGCGCUAGUGUGAGGCGCUAUGACGUGCGGGCGAUUGCAGCAGUACAAUGGCCCCUAUCUUCCACCAGCGCCAACGCACCGCCCACUCACGGGAAAGAGAGCCACCUAGUGAGAAACUGUUCACAUCUCUGGAACUGUCCAGGUUACUAUGGAUACCACAGUGAAAGAGAGAUGAUACUUAGAAUAACUCACCUUCUGGUUGCAGCACAAGAAGUGACGAGAAUGGGAAGCAAUGGCUUUGGUAAUUGAGAUAACAAAUCAGAAGCACAGAUGAGAUCAGAAAUAAACUUCACGUUUAUAGCAAACAGGAAGUGAUCCAGAACUGCAUUCAAGGAGAAGGAGGAAAAGAGAGUGCAUUGCCCCCAACUCAGUCAUGGCUGAUAGCCAAGGAUAAACUGCUAAGAAAGAAAACAGCUUUCAUCUGCAGAUGAGGGAUGUCUCAGCUCAUUAGCUGCUGAGAUGUUGAGAUGAGAUGAAGACCUGUCUGAAAGCUAAAGAGAACAGGAAGCUUUUCAGGAGCCAGCCCAGGUGGCCUGGCUGGCGUGUCCCUCCUGGCUCUCCUGAUGUCCUGCUCAUUCCCUCACAUGUGCUCGCAGAACCUUUGAUUGAGGUGCUUCUGUCUUAGUCCCCCAAGUCCCUCUAUCCUGUGUUCAACAAGAAACACCUGGUUUUAGUUCUUUAGCGCUUGGUCCUCUGACUGGACCAAGUCUAUAAGGCAUGGCACGUAUUGGAAUGCAACAUUUCCCACUGUACACAGCAAUGUAUAUUAGCUGUAGAAAGGAGGCUGGGUUAAGUUUGGGUAAAUAUUUAUGGGUCCAAAAGUUAGGACCUUAAGUAGAUGUAAGAGUUUAGGAUGUGAAGAGACCAUCUGAAUGAUCGAUUCCUAGACAGGAAUGCUCUGCUCUCCUGAGACAAAUAUCUAAAUCUGGCAUGUGAUCUAUGAAACUCUGUCUUCAAAACAAAACUUUAGAGUAGAUAAAUCUACCUAAACCUCGUUUUACCUCUGGCAACCCCAAUCUGUGCAUAUCCUGCUGUUAAGGAGAAGUGAGCUGAUAGAAUCAUCUAGUGUCUGUUGAUUUAUUCUUUCAUGCAACCUUCAAAUAUAUAUUAAAGAUUCCAUUGUAUUGGCUCCUAAUAGGGUCUUGCUCUCAGUGCUUAAAGUGGAGGGAAUUACAUAGAGGGGCAGCAGUAUUUUAAGGGAGAAUGCUAUGAUAAAGAGCUUUGAAGUCAUCCCACUUAAAGAUGAAAUACAGAUACAUAACAUUCUACAAACUCUUUCAGAAUGAAACAUUGGAACUU
This is a long non-coding RNA of Mus spicilegus (steppe mouse), 1996 nucleotides long. NCBI's taxonomy places the organism in Eukaryota, Metazoa, Chordata, Mammalia, Rodentia, Muridae. The record is from Ensembl.